CAUCUCAGUUCGGAUUGCAGGCUGCAACUCGCCUGCAUGAAGCUGGAAUUGCUAGUAAUCGCGGAUCAGCAAGCCGCGGUGAAUACGUUCCCGGGCCUUGUACACACCGCCCGUCACACCAUGAGAGUCGGGAACACCCGAAGUCCGUAGUCUAACCGCAAGGGGGGCGCGGCCGAAGGUGGGUCCGGUAAUUGGGGUGAAGUCGUAACAAGGUAGC
RNAcentral lists this ribosomal RNA (217 nucleotides) under uncultured bacterium. RNAcentral describes it as "partial 16S ribosomal RNA". It matches the Rfam family "Bacterial small subunit ribosomal RNA", at positions 1284 to 1500 of the family's 1533-position model. The record is from RNAcentral.